RNAcentral lists this long non-coding RNA (722 nucleotides) under Ricinus communis (castor bean). Its description in RNAcentral is "long non-coding RNA (RCOM_LNC000569)". Lineage: Eukaryota; Viridiplantae; Streptophyta; Magnoliopsida; Malpighiales; Euphorbiaceae. The record is from RNAcentral.
UGGUGGCGGCUUGUGGACCGGGGGUGGUGGUGGAGACUUGUACUUGUAAACUGGAGGAGGUGGUGGUAGAGACUUGUACUUAUAUGGCUUCUUUGGUGGUGAUGAAGGUGGAUACUUGUGCACUGGUGGUGGUGGAGGUGGAGACUUAUAUUUGUAUACUGGAGGGGGUGGUGGAGGAGACUUGUAUUUGUAUGGGGGUGGUGGAGGAGAAUAGACUGGUGGUGGGGGAGAUUUGUACUUGUAAACUGGUGGAGGAGGUGGUGGGGACUUGUACUUGUAGGGUUUCUUGGGUGGUGGAGGAGACUUAUACUUGUAAACUGGAGUAGGAGGUGGUGGAGACUUGUACUUGUAAGGCUUCUUAGGUGGUGGUGGGGAAUACACUGGAGGAGGAGGUGGGGUGACUUAUACUUGUAAACUGGAGUAGGAGGUGGUGGAGACUUGUACUUGUAGGGUUUCUUAGGUGGUGGUGGAGAAUACACUGGUGGAGGGGGUGGAGGAGACUUGUAUUUAUAAACUGGUGGAGGAGGUGGUGGAGACUGGUACUUGUAAGGCUUCUUGUGAGGUGGUGGAGAAUAAACUGGUGGAGGAGGUGGAGGGGAUUUGUACUUGUAAACUGGAGGUGGUGGCGGUGGAGACUUAUACUUAUAAGGUGGUGGAGGUGGAGGUGGAGAGUACACUGGAGGAGGAGGAGGUGGUGAUUUGUAUUUGUAUGGUGGUGGAGG